This 552-nucleotide ribosomal RNA is filed under the name Cycloramphus eleutherodactylus. RNAcentral describes it as "partial large subunit ribosomal RNA". It matches the Rfam family "Bacterial large subunit ribosomal RNA", at positions 1847 to 2597 of the family's 2925-position model. The record is from RNAcentral. Lineage: Eukaryota; Metazoa; Chordata; Amphibia; Anura; Cycloramphidae.
AAGAGGUCCAGCCUGCCCAGUGACACUGUUCAACGGCCGCGGUAUUCUAACCGUGCGAAGGUAGCGUAAUCACUUGUUCUUUAAAUGAGGACUAGUAUGAAAGGCACCACGAGGGUUACACUGUCUCCUCUUUCUAAUCAGUGAAACUAAUCUCCCCGUGAAGAAGCGAGGAUUUACCUAUAAGACGAGAAGACCCUAUGGAGCUUUAAAUAAUAAUAACAAUUGCUACUACACCUCUUAUUUCAGAAAUUUAUUAAUAACUUAGCAUCAUGAUUAUUAAUUUUAGGUUGGGGUGACCACGGAGCACAAAACAACCUCCAUGUUGAAACAGAGCAUAAACUCUAAGCAAAAAGCUACAACUUUACACAUCAACAAACUGACAUAAAUUGACCCAAUAUUAUUGACCAACGAACCAAGUUACCCUAGGGAUAACAGCGCAAUCCACUUCGAGAGCUCAUAUCGACAAGUGGGUUUACGACCUCGAUGUUGGAUCAGGGUAUCCCAGUGGUGCAGCCGCUACUAAAGGUUCGUUUGUUCAACGAUUAAAACCCU